CCUACGGGAGGCAGCAGUGAGGAAUAUUGGUUAAUGGACGAGAGUCUGAACCAGCCAAGUAGCGUGAAGGAUGACUGCCCUAUGGGUUGUAAACUUCUUUUAUAUGGGAAUAAAAUGUUCCACGUGUGGGAUUUUGUAUGUACCAUAUGAAUAAGGAUCGGCUAACUCCGUGCCAGCAGCCGCGGUAAUACGGAGGAUCCGACCGUUAUCCGGUUUUAUUGGGUUUAAGGGGGGCUAAGGUGGAUUGUUAGGUCGGUUGGGAAAGUUUGCGGUCCACGCGGAAAAUUGCAGUUGAAACUGGCAGUCUGGAGUACAGUAGAGGUGGGAGGAAUUUGUGGUGUAGCGGUGAAAUGCUUAGAUAUCACGCAGAACUCCGAUUGCGAAGGCAGCUCACUGGACUGCAACUGACACUGAGGCUCGAAAGUGUGGGUAUCAAACAGGAUUAGAUACCCUGGUAGUC
RNAcentral lists this ribosomal RNA (460 nucleotides) under uncultured bacterium. RNAcentral describes it as "partial 16S ribosomal RNA". It matches the Rfam family "Bacterial small subunit ribosomal RNA", at positions 338 to 795 of the family's 1533-position model. The record is from RNAcentral.